GACCCCUUAGCAGCUCCGGCCCUUCUACUGUAAAUAUGGCCGCUGUCGUUCCUUUUAGAAUCUCGCGUAAAUAUAUUUCUACGAUAACAUGUACGAAUGGACGUAGAUUAUAUUCAUCCACACAGAAGAACAGUGUACUUACAUCGAGGGAUGUGCGGCGUAUGUUUAUAGAUUUCUUUAAGGAUCGACAUCAGCACAGGGUCGUGCCGUCCUCCCCCGUGCGCCCGCGCGGAGACCCAAGCCUGCUGUUCGUCAAUGCCGGCAUGAACCAGUUCAAGCCCAUCUUCCUGGGCUCGGUGGAUCCCCGCAGCGAGAUGGCGAGGUACCGGCGAGUGGUGAACAGUCAAAAGUGCGUCCGUGCAGGAGGCAAACACAACGACCUGGACGACGUCGGCCGGGAUGUCUACCACCACACCUUCUUCGAGAUGCUGGGAAACUGGUCCUUCGGCGACUACUUUAAGGAAGAGUCCUGCGCCAUGGCUUGGCAGCUUCUGACCGAGGUUUACGGCAUCCCACCGGACCGGCUCUACGUGUCCUAUUUCGGCGGUGACGAGAGACUGGGUCUUAAGCCUGACAGAGAUACACAGGAGAUUUGGCUAAGCAUGGGGGUGCAGCCUAAUCGAAUUUUGCCCUUUGGGAUGAAGGAUAAUUUUUGGGAAAUGGGCGAGACAGGCCCUUGUGGCCCUUGUACGGAGAUUCAUUACGAUCACGUCGGGGGGAGAGAUGCAGCCCGCUUGGUCAACGGGGACAGCGCAGAUGUGGUGGAGAUCUGGAACUUGGUCUUCAUGCAGUACAACAGGGAGGCCGAUGGGAGCCUGCGUGCGCUGCCCCAGCUCAGUGUGGACACCGGCAUGGGCCUGGAGCGGCUGCUGGCUGUCUUACAGGGCCACCGCUCCAACUACGACACCGACCUCUUCACACCCCUGCUGGCCUCCAUCCACCAGUGCUCCAAAUGCCCAGAAUACCGUGGCCAGACCGGGCAAUCAGACGUGUCAGGGGUGGACAUGGCGUACCGUGUUAUCGCCGACCACGUCCGCACUCUGACAGUUUGCAUCGCUGAUGGAGUAUAUCCAGGGAUGUCGGCAGCUGAGCUGGUCCUGCGGCGGAUUUUGCGCCGGGCUGUGCGGUUCUCCAUCGAGGUGCUCCAGUCUCCCCCAGGGUCUCUGGCUAGACUUGUGCCCACGGUGGCCGACAUCCUUGGUGAUGCUUAUCCUGAAGUGGCCAAAGAAACUGAGAGGAUCAUGGACAUCAUCAAUGAGAAUGAGGCCCAGUUUCUGUCCUCGCUGAGUCAGGGUCGGCGUGUCAUCGACAGAACCUUGCAGAGGAUGGACGGGGCUCGGCUGUUUCCAGGAUCCAUCGCCUGGUCCCUGCAUCGCAACCUGGGCUUUCCCCUCGACCUUGUCAGCCUGAUGGUGGAGGAAAAAGGCGUUGCCAUGGACACAGAAACCCUGCUUAGGUUAGCAGUGGAGGAAGAGAAGUUGAAGACCGAGGCCCAGGCUUCUGACACGCAGAGCUGCACACAGCUGGACGUCCUCACCCUCACUGAACUGCAGAACAAGGGUGUUCCCUUCACAGAGGACUCGCCAAAGUACCACUACAGUCUGGGGAAGGAUGGGAAGUAUGCAUUCCUGCCCUGUCAGGCCACCGUCCAGGCACUCUACUGUGGACAGGCCUUGGUACAGGAAGUGUAUGAGGGCCAGAGGUGUGGCGUCAUUCUGGACCAGACUUGCUUCUAUGCAGAGCAAGGAGGACAAAACCAUGACCAGGGAUACUUCACCCAAGACAGCCAGCCAGACGUCCUCUUCCCCGUGGAGAAGGUGCAGCUGGUCGGAGGGUACGUGGUUCAUCAGGUCACUGCCACUGAGGCCCUCCGGAAGGGAGACCAGCUUCAACUCUUUAUAGACGAGGCCCAGAGGCUGGCCUGCAUGGUGAAACACACAGCCACACACAUCCUCAACUUCACCCUCAGGCAGCUGCUGGGAGAGGAGGUGGAGCAGCGUGGCUCUCAUGUCACGGCGGAGCGCCUACGCUUCGAUUUCAGCAUCAAGAAACCACUGAGCACCCAGCAGCUUCAGGAGGUUGAGAAGAUGAUGCAAGACAUUAUAAAACGAGACGAGCCUGUUUACGCGGAGGAGCUGCCCUUACUGGUAGCCAGAGCCAUACCAGGACUGCGAACUGUGGAUGAGGUCUACCCUGAUCCAGUGAGGGUGGUGUCAGUAGGUGUCCCUGCAUCUGACCUGCUCCACGGCCCCAACCCCAGCACAACAUCUAUUGAGCUCUGUUGCGGAACGCACCUCCUGAGGACAGGGUACAUCCAGGACUUCGUCAUCGUGUCUGAGAGGCAGAUGGUGAAGGGAAUCAGUCGCGUUGUAGCCGUCACAGGAGAGGAAGCAAAUAAGGCUCGCGACGCCGGCCACGCCCUGGCCCAGGAGGUGGAGUCCCUGUCCACACGGGUGCCAGCGGCACCCCCCUGCUUGCCCUCCGCACACGGCCUGUCCAAAGAAGCGGGUUUGCUGAUCGAUGCCGUGGAGAACACCGCCAUCCCCCAGUGGCAGAGGAGGGAGCUUCAGAGCCAGCUGCGGGCUCUACAGCGGGCCACCAACACCAUGGUUAGGAAGCUGGAGAUCGCUGAGGCAGCCAACAAAGUUCAGGCAUUGCUAACAAAACACCAGGAAGAAAAGCUGGUGGUGGACACCAUGGACACGGACUCGAUAUCAGUGCUGAUGAAGGCAGUGAAUCAGUACAGUGACCAAGCCCCUGGGACGCUGGUCAUGUUACUGUCACAGCAGCAGUCUGGAAAGGUCCUCUGUGCCUGUCAGGUGCCCAAGAGCUGCGGCCCUCUGUCCGCCAGCGACUGGGCCCUGGCCGUGUGCACCUACCUUGGGGGAAACGCCGGCGGCUCCACCACUGUGGCCAAGGGGACGGGAUGCACCACAGAUAUUACAGAGGCUAUCCACUGGGCAAAGGAGUUCGCAAAGGGCAAGAGGCGGAGCUGAGCGCACUGGGACAUCACCUGCUGUCUGUUUCUCAUAGAAAACUACCUUGAUGUUAAGGGACUGUGGAGACUGUGAAGGCUUCCAUCUCUGAAGCUUUAGAGUAGAGUGAAAGUCAGCCACUAGAGGAAGACAAAAGCAACACUCAAAAACCAGAAAUAUCCAUCAUAGACAAUGCACCCACAAACAUUACUUACAAGAUUUUAGUACAGAAGCUGCUUCACUUGCUAUUUAUCAACAGUUUUUGUGCUACGCUGCCCAGUGCUAGCAGGCCUAGCUACCUGCUUCCGAUGACUUACCUGUGCAAAGUUAAAGCUCACCAUUCCAGAAUCUUCUGUGUCCAGGCUUUUAAAUAUUUCUGUUAAAACAUGUUUAUUGCGUGUUACAAUUGAAUUGAAGCAUCAAAAUACAUGUGAAACAGUAUUAAAACAGUGAGAUUGUCA
Molecule: RNA transcript, 3436 nt
Organism: Brienomyrus brachyistius
Lineage: Eukaryota; Metazoa; Chordata; Actinopteri; Osteoglossiformes; Mormyridae
Gene: aars2
Gene name: alanyl-tRNA synthetase 2, mitochondrial (putative)
Exons: 23
Source: RefSeq, a predicted model, not a curated record